GAAAAGAACCCCGGGAGGGGAGUGAAAGAGAACCUGAAACCUUAUGUUUACAAACAGUCGAAGUUUUUCGGAACGACGGCGUACUUUUUGUAGAACGGUCCGGCGAGUUGCAGUGACAUGCGAGGUUAAGGAGUACAGCUCCGGAGCCGAAGGGAAACCAAGUCUUAACUGGGCGUCUAGUAUGUUAAUGCAGACCCGAAACCGGGUGACCUAUCCAUGGGCAGGUUGAAGUUACCGUAAAAGGUAAUGGAGGACCGAACUCACAUCUGUUGAAAAAGGUGGAGAUGACCUGUGGAUAGCGGAGAAAUUCCAAUCGAACUCGGAGAUAGCUGGUUCUCCUCGAAAUAGCUUUAGGGCUAGCCUUGAGGUAAAGUCUAAUGGAGGUAAAGCACUGAUUGGACGCGGGUCCCCAAAAGGAUACCAACUUCUAUCAAACUCAGAAUGCCAUAUAGAUAUACUCAGGAGUCAGACUAUGUGAGAUAAGUUUCAUAGUCAAAAGGGAAAGAGCCCAGACCGACAGCUAAGGUCCCAAAGUGUGUGUUAAGUGGAAAAGGAUGUUAGGUUUCUAAGACAACUAGGAUGUUGGCUCAGAAGCAGCCACUCAUUUAAAGAGUGCGUAACAGCUCACUAGUCGAGAGGUCUAGCGCCGAAAAUGUCCGGGGCUAAAACACACCACCGAAGCUACGGAAUUACCUAUGGUAAUUGGUAGAGGAGCAUUCUGUAAGGACGAAGCACAAUUGAAAGAGAGUGUGGACGAAACAGAAGAGAGAAUGCCGGAAUGAGUAGCGAGAUAUAUGUGAGAAUCAUAUAGGUCGAAUGUCUAAGGUUUCCUGGGUAAAGCUGAUCUGCUCAGGGUAAGUCGGGACCUAAGGUGAGGGCGAGAGCCGUAAUCGAUGGACAACAGGUAGAAAUUCCUGUACUACGUAUAAUCAGAACUGUGGGGACGCAGGAGGAUAGGAAAACCGGAGAAUGGAAAAAUCCGGCUAAGUACAAAGGUGUGAGCAAUAGGCAAAUCCGUUGCUAUAAGCUGAAGUACGAAUGGGAGCGAAGAAAAGUAGCGAAGUUUCUGAAUCCACACUGUCAAGAAAAGCCGCUAUUGCGUUAUACGUACCCGUACCGCAAACCGACACAGGUAGACGAGGAGAAAAUCCACAGACCGACGGGAGAAGUGUUGUUAAGGAACUCGGCAAAAUGACCCCGUAACUUAGGGAUAAGGGGAGCCAACGCAAGUUGGUCACAGAAAAGAAGCUCAAGCGACUGUUUAGCAAAAACAUAGGUCUAUGCGAAACCGUAAGGUGAUGUAUAUGGGCUGACACCUGCCCGGUGCUGGAAGGUCAAAAGGAGAGGUUAGCGUAAGCGAAGCUUUGAAUUCAAGCCCCAGUAAACGGCGGCCGUAACUAUAACGGUCCUAAGGUAGCGAAAUUCCUUGUCAGGUAAGUUCUGACCCGCACGAAAGGUGUAACGAUUUGAGCACUGUCUCGACAACACGCCCGGUGAAAUUGAAGAACCAGUGAAGAUACUGGUUACCCGCAACAGGACGGAAAGACCCCAUGGAGCUUUACUGCAGCUUAAUAUUGGGAUUCGGUAUUGUAUGUACAGGAUAGGUGGGAGACUAAGAAGCUAGCACGCCAGUGUUGGUGGAGUCGAUGGUGGGAUACCACUCUUAUAAUACUGAAUUUCUAACCUACUUCCGUGAUCCGGAAGAGGGACAUUGUUAGGCGGGCAGUUUGACUGGGGCGGUCGCCUCCGAAAGAGUA
This 1757-nucleotide ribosomal RNA is filed under the name human gut metagenome. RNAcentral's name for it is "bacterial LSU rRNA". It matches the Rfam family "Bacterial large subunit ribosomal RNA", at positions 516 to 2299 of the family's 2925-position model. The record is from RNAcentral.